GAAAUGCGAUAAGUAAUGUGAAUUGCAGAAUUCCGUGAAUCAUCGAAUCUUUGAACGCACAUUGCGCCCUCUGGCAUUCCGGGGGGCAUGCCUGUCCGAGCGUCAUUACGCACCCUCAAGCCCGGCUUGUGUGAUGGGCCCCGCCGUCUCGUUCGCGAGACGGGCCCGAAAGGCAGCGGUUCCUUGCCCCCCUCUUUGCGCAGCACAUUGCCAUUCGAGGCGGCGGCGGCCCGCGUCCAACAAGCUCAACCCCCCCGUCUUUGACCUCGGAUCAGGUAGGGAUACCCGCUGAACUUAAGC
Molecule: unclassified non-coding RNA, 300 nt
Filed under: plant metagenome
Description: partial contains 5.8S ribosomal RNA, internal transcribed spacer 2, and large subunit ribosomal RNA
Rfam family: 5.8S ribosomal RNA (bases 1-105)
Source: RNAcentral